Molecule: non-coding RNA, 145 nt
Filed under: Moraxella caviae
Lineage: Bacteria; Pseudomonadati; Pseudomonadota; Gammaproteobacteria; Moraxellales; Moraxellaceae
Description: TPP sequence
Rfam family: TPP riboswitch aptamer (THI element)
About the family: Vitamin B(1) in its active form thiamin pyrophosphate (TPP) is an essential coenzyme that is synthesised by coupling of pyrimidine and thiazole moieties in bacteria.
Source: Rfam by way of RNAcentral
AUUUGCUUGACGGAGUGCGGUUUGAGACCGCUGAGAUUGCGUCUUUGGUGGGUGCGCCAUUGGUGUUCCACAUGAAACUUAUAACGCAAAAUCCGUUGAACCUGAACAGGUUAGUCCCUGCGUAGGAAUCAAGCACGUCCGCCAU